Molecule: ribosomal RNA, 465 nt
Filed under: uncultured bacterium
Lineage: Bacteria
Description: partial 16S ribosomal RNA
Rfam family: Bacterial small subunit ribosomal RNA
Source: RNAcentral
GACGAACGCUGGCGGUGUGCUUAACACAUGCAAGUCGAACGGUAAGGCCCUUUCGGGGGUACACGAGUGGCGCACGGGUGAGUAACACGUGAGUAACCUGCCCUCAUCUCUGGGAUAACAGUCGGAAACGGUUGCUAAUACUGGAUAUGAGCCUGCAAGGCAUCUUGUGGGUUGGAAAGAUUUUUUGGUUGGGGAUGGACUCGCGGCCUAUCAGCUUGUUGGUGAGGUAGUGGCUCACCAAGGCUUCGACGGGUAGCCGGCCUGAGAGGGCGACCGGCCACAUUGGGACUGGGAUACGGCCCAAACUCCUACGGGAGGCAGCAGUGGGGAAUAUUGCACAAUGGACGGAAGUCUGAUGCAGCAACGCCGCGUGCGGGAUGACGGCCUUCGGGUUGUAAACCGCUUUCAAUUGUGACGAAGCUUUUUGUGACGGUAGCAGUAGAAGAAGCACCGGCUAACUACGUG